AUCCCAUUUGGGUAACUGAGUGGGGGAAGUGGCGAAAGGGGCAGUAAUACAUAGGCAACCUACCUCCGGGACGUGGAUAGCCGGUAGAGAUACCGGGUAAUACGCGGCGAGUCAGCGGGAAGGCAUCUUCCUGCUGGGAAAAGAAUUUCGCCUGGAGAGGGGCUUAUGCCGUAUUAGCUAGUUGGCGGGGUAAUGGCCCACCAAGGCGAAGAUGCGUAGCGGGUGUGAGAGCACGACCCGCGCCACUGGCACUGAGACACUGGCCAGACACCUACGGGUGGCUGCAGUCGAGGAUCUUCGGCAAUGGGCGCAAGCCUGACCGAGCGACGCCGCGUGGACGAUGAAGGCCUUCGGGUUGUAAAGUCCUGUCGAGGGGGAUAAAACCGCAAGGUUGAUAGAUCCCUGGAGGAAGCACGGGCUAAGUUCGUGCCAGCAGCCGCGGUAAGACGAACCGUGCGAACGUUGUUCGGAAUCACUGGGCUUAAAGGGCGCGUAGGCGGCCGACCAAGUCAGGGGUGAAAUCCCGCAGCUUAACUGCGGAAGUGCCUUUGAUACUGGAUGGCUCGAGGGAGAUAGGGGUCUGUGGAACGGGUGGUGGAGCGGUGAAAUGCGUUGAUAUCACUCGGAACGCCGGUGGCGAAAGCGACGGACUGGAUCUCUACUGACGCUGAGGCGCGAAAGCCAGGGGAGCAAACGGGAUUAGAUACCCCGGUAGUCCUGGCCCUAAACGAUGGGUACUAGAUUGUAGACUUGUCAUGGGUUUACAGUCGAAGCAAAAGUUUUAAGUACCCCGCCUGGGGA
RNAcentral lists this ribosomal RNA (801 nucleotides) under uncultured bacterium. RNAcentral describes it as "bacterial SSU rRNA". It matches the Rfam family "Bacterial small subunit ribosomal RNA", at positions 68 to 879 of the family's 1533-position model. The record is from RNAcentral.